RNAcentral lists this ribosomal RNA (253 nucleotides) under uncultured bacterium. RNAcentral describes it as "partial 16S ribosomal RNA". It matches the Rfam family "Bacterial small subunit ribosomal RNA", at positions 524 to 776 of the family's 1533-position model. The record is from RNAcentral.
GACGUAGGGGGCCAGCGUUGUUCGGAAUUACUGGGCGUAAAGGGUUCGUAGGCGGUGCGGCAAGUCGGGAGUGAAAUCUCUGGGCUUAACCCAGAGGCUGCUUCCGAAACUGCUGUGCUUGAGUGUGGGAGAGGCGCGUGGAAUUGCAGGUGUAGCGGUGAAAUGCGUAGAUAUCUGCAGGAACACCCGUGGCGAAAGCGGCGCGCUGGACCACUACUGACGCUGAGGAGCGAAAGCUAGGGGAGCAAACAGG